This 428-nucleotide ribosomal RNA is filed under the name Bacteroidota bacterium. Its description in RNAcentral is "Bacteroidetes bacterium partial 16S ribosomal RNA". It matches the Rfam family "Bacterial small subunit ribosomal RNA", at positions 355 to 776 of the family's 1533-position model. The record is from RNAcentral. Lineage: Bacteria; Pseudomonadati; Bacteroidota.
UAGGGAAUCUUCGGCAAUGGACGCAAGUCUGACGGAGCAACGCCGCGUGAGUGAAGAAGGAUUUCGGUUCGUAAAACUCUGUUGUUAGAGAAGAACAGCGCAUAGAGUAACUGUAUGCGUGUGACGGUAUCUAACCAGAAAGCCACGGCUAACUACGUGCCAGCAGCCGCGGUAAUACGUAGGUGGCAAGCGUUGUCCGGAUUUAUUGGGCGUAAAGCGAGCGCAGGCGGUCAAUUAAGUCUGAUGUGAAAGCCCCCGGCUCAACCGGGGAGGGUCAUUGGAAACUGGUUGACUUGAGUGCAGAAGAGGAGAGUGGAAUUCCAUGUGUAGCGGUGAAAUGCGUAGAUAUAUGGAGGAACACCAGUGGCGAAGGCGACUCUCUGGUCUGUAACUGACGCUGAGGUUCGAAAGCGUGGGUAGCAAACAGG